RNAcentral lists this ribosomal RNA (1166 nucleotides) under Pediococcus pentosaceus. Its description in RNAcentral is "bacterial SSU rRNA". It matches the Rfam family "Bacterial small subunit ribosomal RNA", at positions 54 to 1177 of the family's 1533-position model. Lineage: Bacteria; Bacillati; Bacillota; Bacilli; Lactobacillales; Lactobacillaceae. The record is from RNAcentral.
ANUGCAGUCGAACGAACUUCCGUUAAUUGAUUAUGACGUACUUGUACUGAUUGAGAUUUUAACACGAAGUGAGUGGCGAACGGGUGAGUAACACGUGGGUAACCUGCCCAGAAGUAGGGGAUAACACCUGGAAACAGAUGCUAAUACCGUAUAACAGAGAAAACCGCAUGGUUUUCUUUUAAAAGAUGGCUCUGCUAUCACUUCUGGAUGGACCCGCGGCGUAUUAGCUAGUUGGUGAGGUAAAGGCUCACCAAGGCAGUGAUACGUAGCCGACCUGAGAGGGUAAUCGGCCACAUUGGGACUGAGACACGGCCCAGACUCCUACGGGAGGCAGCAGUAGGGAAUCUUCCACAAUGGACGCAAGUCUGAUGGAGCAACGCCGCGUGAGUGAAGAAGGGUUUCGGCUCGUAAAGCUCUGUUGUUAAAGAAGAACGUGGGUAAGAGUAACUGUUUACCCAGUGACGGUAUUUAACCAGAAAGCCACGGCUAACUACGUGCCAGCAGCCGCGGUAAUACGUAGGUGGCAAGCGUUAUCCGGAUUUAUUGGGCGUAAAGCGAGCGCAGGCGGUCUUUUAAGUCUAAUGUGAAAGCCUUCGGCUCAACCGAAGAAGUGCAUUGGAAACUGGGAGACUUGAGUGCAGAAGAGGACAGUGGAACUCCAUGUGUAGCGGUGAAAUGCGUAGAUAUAUGGAAGAACACCAGUGGCGAAGGCGGCUGUCUGGUCUGCAACUGACGCUGAGGCUCGAAAGCAUGGGUAGCGAACAGGAUUAGAUACCCUGGUAGUCCAUGCCGUAAACGAUGAUUACUAAGUGUUGGAGGGUUUCCGCCCUUCAGUGCUGCAGCUAACGCAUUAAGUAAUCCGCCUGGGGAGUACGACCGCAAGGUUGAAACUCAAAAGAAUUGACGGGGGCCCGCACAAGCGGUGGAGCAUGUGGUUUAAUUCGAAGCUACGCGAAGAACCUUACCAGGUCUUGACAUCUUCUGACAGUCUAAGAGAUUAGAGGUUCCCUUCGGGGACAGAAUGACAGGUGGUGCAUGGUUGUCGUCAGCUCGUGUCGUGAGAUGUUGGGUUAAGUCCCGCAACGAGCGCAACCCUUAUUACUAGUUGCCAGCAUUAAGUUGGGCACUCUARUGAGACUGCCGGUGACAAACCGGAGGAAGNGGGG